Molecule: ribosomal RNA, 493 nt
Filed under: uncultured bacterium
Lineage: Bacteria
Description: partial 16S ribosomal RNA
Rfam family: Bacterial small subunit ribosomal RNA
Source: RNAcentral
AUUGAACGCUGGCGGCAUGCUUUACACAUGCAAGUCGAACGGUAACAGGUUAAGCUGACGAGUGGCGAACGGGUGAGUAAUGCAUCGGAACGUGCCCGAUCGUGGGGGAUAACGCAGCGAAAGCUGCGCUAAUACCGCAUACGAUCUAAGGAUGAAAGCGGGGGACCGUAAGGCCUCGCGCGAUCGGAGCGGCUGAUGUCAGAUUAGGUAGUUGGUGGGGUAAAGGCCCACCAAGCCGACGAUCUGUAGCUGGUCUGAGAGGACGACCAGCCAAACUGGACAUGAGACACGGCCCAGACUGCUACGGGAGGCAGCAGUGGGGAAUUUUGGACAAUGGGCGAAAGCCUGAUCCAGCAAUGCCGCGUGCAGGAAGAAGGCCUUCGGGUUGUAAACUGCUUUUGUACGGAGCGAAAAGGUCCUUUCUAAUACAAGGGGCUCAUGACGGUACCGUAAGAAUAAGCACCGGCUCACUACGUGCCAGCAGCCGCCGUAA